RNAcentral lists this ribosomal RNA (254 nucleotides) under uncultured bacterium. RNAcentral describes it as "partial 16S ribosomal RNA". It matches the Rfam family "Bacterial small subunit ribosomal RNA", at positions 524 to 776 of the family's 1533-position model. The record is from RNAcentral.
UACGUAGGGGGCAAGCGUUGUCCGGAAUCAUUGGGCGUAAAGAGCGCGUAGGCGGCCCUGUAAGUCCGCUGUGAAAGUCGGGGGCUCAACCCUCGGAUGCCGGUGGAUACUGUUGGGCUAGAGUGCGGUAGGGGAGAUUGGAAUUCCUGGUGUAGCGGUGAAAUGCGCAGAUAGUCAGGAGGAACACCGGUGGCGAAGGCGGGUCUCUGGGCCGAUACUGACGCUGAGGAGCGAAAGCGUGGGGAGCGAACAGG